Molecule: long non-coding RNA, 176 nt
Organism: Gymnodraco acuticeps
Lineage: Eukaryota; Metazoa; Chordata; Actinopteri; Perciformes; Bathydraconidae
Exons: 2
Source: RefSeq, a predicted model, not a curated record
CUCUGAUUCGCGUUAUGGUAGCUGUUGUAAGAAGUACCUGACUAUGCCGGACUUUUGUGCAGCCUACGGAUGCUCCAAUCGCCGCUGUCUGCAAACAAGAACCCGUGGGAUCACCACAUAUGUUUAUGUUUGCUCAGUCUAAUAAACCCAUAACAUGGUUGUGAAAGAAUACCAAA